RNAcentral lists this ribosomal RNA (558 nucleotides) under Salmonella enterica subsp. enterica serovar Hadar. Its description in RNAcentral is "bacterial LSU rRNA". It matches the Rfam family "Bacterial large subunit ribosomal RNA", at positions 690 to 1245 of the family's 2925-position model. The record is from RNAcentral. Lineage: Bacteria; Pseudomonadati; Pseudomonadota; Gammaproteobacteria; Enterobacterales; Enterobacteriaceae.
GGGCGUUAAGUUGCAGGGUAUAGACCCGAAACCCGGUGAUCUAGCCAUGGGCAGGUUGAAGGUUGGGUAACACUAACUGGAGGACCGAACCGACUAAUGUUGAAAAAUUAGCGGAUGACCUGUGGCUGGGGGUGAAAGGCCAAUCAAACCGGGAGAUAGCUGGUUCUCCCCGAAAGCUAUUUAGGUAGCGCCUCGUGAAUUCAUCUCCGGGGGUAGAGCACUGUUUCGGCUAGGGGGCCAUCCCGGCUUACCAACCCGAUGCAAACUGCGAAUACCGGAGAAUGUUAUCACGGGAGACACACGGCGGGUGCUAACGUCCGUCGUGAAGAGGGAAACAACCCAGACCGCCAGCUAAGGUCCCAAAGUCAUGGUUAAGUGGGAAACGAUGUGGGAAGGCCCAGACAGCCAGGAUGUUGGCUUAGAAGCAGCCAUCAUUUAAAGAAAGCGUAAUAGCUCACUGGUCGAGUCGGCCUGCGCGGAAGAUGUAACGGGGCUAAACCAUGCACCGAAGCUGCGGCAGCGACGCUUAUGCGUUGUUGGGUAGGGGAGCGUUCUGUA